CGGGCAAGGGACAGCGACCUCCUGGGCCAGGACAGGUGAGCGCGGCGCAGGCCCGGGACCCGCGUGGCGGCGGUGCGCGUGAGCGGCCAGCAGAGGGCGCCAGAGAGCCAGGAGCUGCCCGGGGAGGAGCCCGCGCCGGCCCCAAUGUCCAGCUCCGCGCCGCGCAGACCCACCAAGCCCGCGCUCAGACGGCCCAGCUCAGCCGAGAGGCUGCUCGCGCCGGGUCCUUCCUCUUCCCCAAGUGCAGGCAGAGCCCCUGGAGCCAUGGCCAGCCCUUCCGGCAGCUCCGAAGCCACUGGCAAGUCCCGAGGCAGAGAUGGCCCGCCCAGGAGGGAGGGGGACGACGUCCCUCCCUAGGAGAAGAGGCUGCGGCUGUUGCUGGAGGGGGAAGCGCACAGCCCGAGGACUGCGAGGACGGGGAGGACGCGCCGCGGCCGGGCAGGGAGGAGACCGGCACCCAGACAGGUGGCGACGGCAGAGGAAUAACCUGCACUCUUCUCUGCAAUGAAUCCCAAAAGUAUGUAGUUGAGCUGACUGCAAGGUGCUUGACACGCAAGAGAUUCCACAAAUGGGAUUUGGCCUCUGGAAAGUGGUGGUAGUUCCAGAUUUAUGUGGAUGUUACUUUGUAUUUCCCUAUAAAAUAUAUUCUUUAAACUAUCAAG
This 662-nucleotide long non-coding RNA is filed under the name Pan troglodytes (chimpanzee). RNAcentral describes it as "lincRNA". The record is from RNAcentral. Lineage: Eukaryota; Metazoa; Chordata; Mammalia; Primates; Hominidae.